AGCCAUAGUAACUACUCCUAUAGUUGCUUGUGGUUAGCGGCUAGGUCGUGCUCCUACACGGCCGAACCGCGUU
This 73-nucleotide non-coding RNA is filed under the name Xenorhabdus ehlersii. Lineage: Bacteria; Pseudomonadati; Pseudomonadota; Gammaproteobacteria; Enterobacterales; Morganellaceae. The record is from RNAcentral.